CCUACGGGUGGCUGCAGUGGGGAAUAUUGGACAAUGGGCGAAAGCCUGAUCCAGCCAUGCCGCGUGUGUGAAGAAGGCCUUCGGGUUGUAAAGCACUUUAAGUGGGGAAGAAAGCCUUGGGGCUAAUACCCUCGAGGAAGGACAUUACCGACAGAAGAAGCACCGGCUAACUCCGUGCCAGCAGCCGCGGUAAUACGGAGGGUGCGAGCGUUAAUCGGAAUUACUGGGCGUAAAGCGCGCGUAGGCGGUCUGAUAAGUCGGUUGUGAAAGCCCCGGGCUCAACCUGGGAACGGCAUCCGGAACUGUCUGGCUAGAGUACAGGAGAGGGAGGUAGAAUUCCCGGUGUAGCGGUGAAAUGCGUAGAUAUCGGGAGGAAUACCAGUGGCGAAGGCGACCACCUGGACUGAUACUGACGCUGAGGUGCGAAAGCGUGGGUAGCAAACAGGAUUAGAUACCCGAGUAGUC
Molecule: ribosomal RNA, 465 nt
Filed under: Vreelandella stevensii
Lineage: Bacteria; Pseudomonadati; Pseudomonadota; Gammaproteobacteria; Oceanospirillales; Halomonadaceae
Description: partial 16S ribosomal RNA
Rfam family: Bacterial small subunit ribosomal RNA
Source: RNAcentral